CAAUAGCGUAUAUUAAAGUUGUUGCGGUUAAAAGCUCGUAGUUGGAUUUCUGCCGAGGACGACCGGUCCGCCCUCUGGGUGAGUAUCUGGCUUGGCCUGGGCAUCUUCUUGGAGAACGUAGCUGCACUUGACUGUGUGGUGCGGUAUCCAGGACUUUUACUUUGAGGAAAUUAGAGUGUUUCAAGCAGGCAUGCGCCUUGAAUACAUUAGCAUGGAAUAAUAAGAUAGGACCUCGGUCCAUUUUGUUGGUUUCUUGGGUUGAGGUAAUGAUUAACAGGGAUGGUUGGGGGCAUUCGUAUUUAACUGUCAGAGGUGAAAUUCUUGGAUUUGUUAAAGACGAACUACUGCGAAAGCAUUUGCCAAGGAUGUUUUCAUUGAUCAAGAACGAAAGUUAGGGGAUCGAAGACGAUCAGAUACCAU
This 420-nucleotide ribosomal RNA is filed under the name uncultured eukaryote. Its description in RNAcentral is "SSU rRNA". It matches the Rfam family "Eukaryotic small subunit ribosomal RNA", at positions 592 to 1018 of the family's 1831-position model. The record is from RNAcentral.